Molecule: long non-coding RNA, 572 nt
Organism: Athene cunicularia (burrowing owl)
Lineage: Eukaryota; Metazoa; Chordata; Aves; Strigiformes; Strigidae
Exons: 2
Source: RefSeq, a predicted model, not a curated record
CUCAGUUGUUUAAGGUGCUGUGUUUCUUCAGCACUGGGUAUGCAGGACCCAUCAGCCUGACACGCUGUAUGAACUGUACUGCUGUUUAUAUAAACCUUUUCAUGAUGCAUUUAGGAAGAUUGUUCCCAUGUUCAGGAAAAAGGAGAGAACAUGGUGCUUCAGUGUGGGUCUGGCCUUGGCAGAGCAAGAAGCAACUGUUUCACUUGCAGACAGGAUACCAGCCCUGCUUCUUUGAAAUGCCACCUAUCCACACCUGCAGGAAAUCAGUUGGAAGGGCUGUUUCCAACAGGCAAGCUCAAAACAGACAACUCUUCAUAGGAAAAGCUGUUUUUCACCACCAAAGUUCAUUCAUUCAUGGCUUGUAACAGCUUAAUGUGUAUCAGUGUACUGACUGCUUACUUGAGCAUCAGGUGGCAGGCCUGGCUGAAGCGCUGCAGAUUCUGUCAUUCAAAAUGAAACUGUUUGCUAAAAAACACUGAUAUAGUCCUUAAAGUAUAAUUGCAUCAGUAUGGCACAUUACUCUCUUUCAAGUACAAUGUCUGGAUUGCAAAAUAAACAUUUUUUUUUCCUUU